CCGCCUCAUUAAUGGGCCGUACCGGCGGACAGUGAGAGCCCUGGUCUUCACAUUAAAGCACCGAGCUGAAAUCCGGGCUCAGGUGAAGAACGGCUCGCUGCCAGUCGGCACGUUUGUACAGACCCACAAAAAGUGACCUGAGGACGGUUCCAGUCCUGGGCUGGGCAGAGAGGAAAAUGGGCCUCUCUGUGCCAUUCAAAGACUCUUUUGAGUUUGGCUGAUAGCGGCUGGUGGCUGUGCUAAAUUUUCCCAUGGUGCCAUUGCGUGGCAGACAGAGGAUGCAGAGAGCCUUGGGAGACAGGCCUGCAGGAACGUGCUUCAUUAGCUGUAAUGUCUGGUGCUGCCUAACAGGAUGCACUCGGGCUGUCACUAGGAAGUACCAUACAGUUGCCAUCACCCAACACCGCGAAAGGGUGACGGAUUUCACUGUGAGUAUGCCAAGGACACCUCUAAACUCCCCCCAUGUCAGACAGAUGAAGUUACUACUUUAUUUAGCCACCCUGCAGGUAACUGAAACUCAAUUACUGCUGCCGCUCACUUGGUUCCAUCCCCCUGAGUUUAGAUAGCUCCCGUGCCUCUCAGAACUCCCCUGUCUGUUUUCUUUGCUCCACCCCAGGGGUGAGCCUGCCAGAGCCUGCUGACUACCCCUUCUUUCCAGAGCUCACUUAUCUGAACGUUUCAGCUCUCCCUGGAAGACCUUCUGCAUUGGUCUCUGGAGCCCCCAUGCUGAGGCUUCUAAUGAGGAACUGGCCUGAAGCCUCCUCACACCUCAGGGUUUAUUUGAAUAAGUUGGUGCUCUUGGUUUAAGGCUCUGUCGAAGAUACAUAAUGAAAUUUUUCUUGAAGUUAAUUACUGCAGUAGAAAGAAAUACAUGCAUAUAUAUUUUAAAAUGAAAUGCCUCUAUAUAGGCCUGCUUGAACAAUUAUGUAAAUGAUACUUGCUUUUUAAAGUAAUAAUAAACUGGGACUUUUUUCCUAAAACAAAAA
Galeopterus variegatus (Sunda flying lemur) is the source of this 986-nucleotide long non-coding RNA. RefSeq lists it as uncharacterized. The transcript has 2 exons. NCBI's taxonomy places the organism in Eukaryota, Metazoa, Chordata, Mammalia, Dermoptera, Cynocephalidae. The record is from RefSeq and is a predicted model, not a curated record.